GACGAACGCUGGCGGCGUGCUUAACACAUGCAAGUCGAACGGUAAGGCUCCAGCUUGCUGGGGUACACGAGUGGCGAACGGGUGAGUAACACGUGGGUGACCUGCCCUGCACUUCGGGAUAAGCCUAGGAAACUGGGUCUAAUACCGGAUAGGACCAUGGUGUGGAUACUGUGGUGGAAAGUUUUUUCGGUGUGGGAUGGGCCCGCGGCUUAUCAGCUUGUUGGUGGGGUAAUGGCCUACCAAGGCGGCGACGGGUAGCCGGCCUGAGAGGGUGGACGGCCACAUUGGGACUGAGACACGGCCCAGACUCCUACGGGAGGCAGCAGUGGGGAAUAUUGCACAAUGGGCGGAAGCCUGAUGCAGCGACGCCGCGUGGGGGAUGACGGCCUUCGGGUUGUAAACUCCUUUCACCAUCGACGAAGGGUUUCUGACGGUAGAUGGUGAAGAAGCACCGGCUAACUACGUG
RNAcentral lists this ribosomal RNA (466 nucleotides) under uncultured bacterium. Its description in RNAcentral is "partial 16S ribosomal RNA". It matches the Rfam family "Bacterial small subunit ribosomal RNA", at positions 28 to 507 of the family's 1533-position model. The record is from RNAcentral.